Molecule: ribosomal RNA, 373 nt
Filed under: uncultured organism
Description: partial 16S ribosomal RNA
Rfam family: Bacterial small subunit ribosomal RNA
Source: RNAcentral
GGAGGGGGUUAGCGUUGUUCGGAAUUACUGGGCGUAAAGCGCACGUAGGCGGACUGGAAAGUUCGGGGGGUGAAAUCCCAGGGGCUCAACCCUGGGAACUGCCUCCAAAACUAUCAGUCUAGAGUUCGAGAGAGGUGAGUGGAAUUCCGAGUGUAGAGGUGAAAUUCGUAGAUAUUCGGAGGAACACCAGUGGCGAAGGCGGCUCACUGGCUCGAUACUGACGCUGAGGUGCGAAAGUGUGGGGAGCAAACAGGAUUAGAUACCCUGGUAGUCCACACCGUAAACGAUGAAUGCCAGUCGUCGGGCAGCAUGCUAUUCGGUGACACACCUAACGGAUUAAGCAUUCCGCCUGGGGAGUACGGUCGCAAGAUUA